Long non-coding RNA from Seriola aureovittata, 1211 nucleotides. RefSeq lists it as uncharacterized. The transcript is spliced from 3 exons. Lineage: Eukaryota; Metazoa; Chordata; Actinopteri; Carangiformes; Carangidae. The record is from RefSeq and is a predicted model, not a curated record.
GAAACAGGAGAGAGAAAGAGCAUUAACAUACUCUCUAGGGCAGCUACUGCCAACCAGGGGGUGGUCACAAAAGUACUGCAUGAAUGGUGAAAUAACCAAAGCGAACGAGCUUCAUAUUCUUCCGAGUAUUGGGGCUGUGUGAGGCCCAGCUCCUACUUUCUCUCUCCUCUCUAAUACAGAGCAAUUUUGUCUCCUUUCCCUAAAAAUAGAAACCACCCCAUCAAUUAUGGCUCCUCUGCAGUCACUUUGUCAAGAUGUUCAUAACUACCUGACUAAAAGCCUCCAGGAAAAGAAAUGCAGAAUCCUGGGGUGAGCUGUUUCUUUCACAAGAGAUUUUUAAGCUGCUUCUCACUUUCACAGGCAUUUUAUAAACAAUAAUGGGCAGUUUUGCUUCAAGAUGCUGUUAUUUUCUGUCCUUGGUGUGGUGCUUUACAGCUAAAAAUGUCUUCUAAUGCAGAAAAUUUGAUCUUUAAAAGACUGCUAUUGCUCUUAAGCUUGUCGUCGAUCCUUGAGUGUCAUUUGUGAAAAGAGAAAUGUCCAUAUUUAGUGUGGACGGAUACUGCUGGACAUUGAGGUGCAUUUAUAUUUAUAUUUAUUAUAUAUUCAAAUUUAUACAACAGUUAGUUCCGACCAAGUAAUUUGAUUGGACGAGAGGAAUUCCAUGAGCGCUGGGACUUUUAACUCCAUGUAUCACUCCGCUUCACGGGUGUUCUAUCAACCGUUAAUCAGCGUUACAUUAACGGUCGUUAUCUAUCUUAGAUUGCAACAAACUUUGCAAAGAUGAAAAUAUUUCCAGAAAUAACAUUUGAAUUAAAUGACGUAUGGUCGUCAGAAGAGGAUCAUGGGAAGAGGCCUGGAUACUUCAGCUCACACAUGAGUGACCGGGGGCAGAGGAACCUGUUGACAUGGAAACAGGCUGAUGGGCAGCAUCCCAAAGGCAGCAGAGCCCCCCCCCCCCGGGAUUCUCAUAUGACGUCAAUCAGGUUCAGGGUUCUUGUAUGAACCACUGAAGCAUCACAGAGAGAGAAACUGGAAGACUGAGACAGAAAUGAAGUCAUCUGAUGGCCUCCUAUGUCCCAAAGCCAGCUCCCGUUCCUGACCGUGGAUCAUGGAUAGUGCUGGGUGUUGUUAUCAAGACCAGACUAAUGGGAACAUCAGGCCUAAACCACAUCCUCCUGCAGACUGACCCCCUAUACACAGGAUAUCCUGUU